RNAcentral lists this ribosomal RNA (117 nucleotides) under Neogale vison (American mink). Lineage: Eukaryota; Metazoa; Chordata; Mammalia; Carnivora; Mustelidae. The record is from RNAcentral.
UAUGGCCAUACCACCCUGAACACGCCCCAUCUCGUCUGAUCUCGGAAGCUAAGCAGGGUCGGGCCUGGUUAGUACUUGGAUGGGAUACCAUCAAUGGGAACCAGCCUUUUCCCAGGA